RNAcentral lists this ribosomal RNA (442 nucleotides) under uncultured bacterium. RNAcentral describes it as "partial 16S ribosomal RNA". It matches the Rfam family "Bacterial small subunit ribosomal RNA", at positions 339 to 795 of the family's 1533-position model. The record is from RNAcentral.
CUACGGGAGGCUGCGGUGGGGAAUAUUGGGCAAUGGGCGCAAGCCUGACCCAGCAACGCCGCGUGAGGGAAGAAUGUCUUCGGAUUGUAAACCUCUGUCCUUGGGGACGAAAAAAAUGACGGUACCCAAGGAGGAAGCUCCGGCUAACUACGUGCCAGCAGCCGCGGUAAUACGUAGGGAGCAAGCGUUGUCCGGAAUUAUUGGGCGUAAAGGGUGCGUAGGCGGCGCUGUAAGUCAGAUGUGAAAUCCCCGGGCUUAACUCGGGAGUUGCAUUUGAAACUACAGUGCUUGAGUAAAGAAGGGGUAAGUGGAAGUCCUAGUGUAGCGGUGGAAUGCGUAGAUAUUAGGAGGAACACCAGUGGCGAAGGCGACUUACUGGUCUUUUACUGACGCUGAGGCACGAAAGCGUGGGGAGCAAACAGGAUUAGAUACCCCGGUAGUC